AACCAUUCUCACCUGCGGCUAGACCUGCGGAGGGAUCAUUAAAAAAAUCUUUUUCCCGCGGACCUUUUGUCGUCCAAGGCGCAAAAAGACCCACACCUGUGUGCACUGUUAUCGUUUCUUUGGCAGGGGCUUGGGGGAAUUUUUUUCCCUCAACUUCUCCUUCGGCUCUAUCCUUUCUCUCGGGGAGGAUAGCUGGACAUGGGAAGCAGUUUACCCUGCCAAGUAAACCUCAAAACACGC
RNAcentral lists this unclassified non-coding RNA (240 nucleotides) under soil metagenome. Its description in RNAcentral is "partial contains 5.8S ribosomal RNA, internal transcribed spacer 2, and large subunit ribosomal RNA". The record is from RNAcentral.